Molecule: ribosomal RNA, 390 nt
Filed under: Triticum aestivum (bread wheat)
Lineage: Eukaryota; Viridiplantae; Streptophyta; Magnoliopsida; Poales; Poaceae
Description: partial small subunit ribosomal RNA
Source: RNAcentral
AUGUGUGGCGUCUUGUGCUUGCUAGUCUGCAUUAGGUCAAACAAACUUAUUGAGUGCAAGAAAAACCAGUUUGGUUGCAUAAACGAGAGUUAUUCCACACGCGCACGAACCUUAAAGCGUCCUAUCAGGAUUCUCUCGAAUUGGCCGUUUUCAGCGAGCCGGGCUAACUCCAGCACAAAAAGGGGCACGACGUACGCGGUGGUGCAGGAGAGAAUCAACAUGGAGAUGGCAGGAGACCAAAAUCCGCCGACGCGUGAUGGCGCAAAAUCUGGCCACACCCCCAUUUACUCACUCAUCUCCGGCAACAUGACCUGCUUAUCCCAUUCGCCUUCGUCUCCGUUCGUUUCCCUCGCUCCAACAUGGGCGGAUCAUCGGCUUCGAUGGUGGUAA